UCCGGGUUGGACCCGGCGGUCCCGCCAGACAUCGUAACUGGCAGCGAGGGUUGCGCUCGUUGCGGGACUUAACCCAACACCUCACGGCACGAGCUGACGACAGCCAUGCAGCAUCUGUGCGCGCUCCCUUGCGGGUCCCUCACCUUUCGGUUCGGUACCACGCGCAUGUCAAGCCUGGGUAAGGUUCUUCGCGUUGCAUCGAAUUAAACCACACGCUCCGCUGCUUGUGCGGGCCCCCGUCAAUUCCUUUGAGUUUCAGCCUUGCGGCCGUACUCCCCAGGCGGGAUACUUAACGCGUUAGCUUCGUUACCAAGGAAUUACUUCCCCGACAACCAGUUGACAUCGUUUAGGGCGUGGACUAC
RNAcentral lists this unclassified non-coding RNA (362 nucleotides) under uncultured Chloroflexota bacterium. RNAcentral's name for it is "uncultured Chloroflexi bacterium contains 16S-23S intergenic spacer region". The record is from RNAcentral. Lineage: Bacteria; Bacillati; Chloroflexota.